This 589-nucleotide ribosomal RNA is filed under the name uncultured bacterium. RNAcentral's name for it is "partial 16S ribosomal RNA". It matches the Rfam family "Bacterial small subunit ribosomal RNA", at positions 355 to 1375 of the family's 1533-position model. The record is from RNAcentral.
UGGGGAAUAUUGCACAAUGGGCGCAAGCCUGAUGCAGCCAUGCCGCGUGUGUGAAGAAGGCCUUCGGGUUGUAAAGCACUUUCAGCGAGGAGGAAGGUGGUGAGCUUAAUACGCCCAUCAAUUGACGUUACUCGCAGAAGAAGCACCGGCUAACUCCGUGCCAGCAGCCGCGGUAAUACGGAGGGUGCAAGCGUUAAUCGGAAUUACUGGGCGUAAAGCGCACGCAGGCGGUUUGUUAAGUCAGAUGUGAAAUCCCCGGGCUCAACCUGGGAACUGCAUUUGAAACUGGCAAGCUAGGGUCUCGUAGAGGGGGGUAGAAUUCCAGGUGUAGCGGUGAAAUGCGUAGAGAUCUGGAGGAAUACCGGUGGCGAAGGCGGCCCCCUGGACGAAGACUGACGCUCAGGUGCGAAAGCGUGGGGAGCAAAACAGGAUUAGAUACCCUGGUAGUCCACGCUGUAAAACGAUGUCGAUUUUGGAGGUUGUGCCCUUGAGGCAUGGCUUCCGGAGCUAACGCGUUAAAUCGACCGCCUGGGGAGUACGGCCGCAAGGUUAAAACUCAAAGGAAUUGACGGGGUCAUAGCUGUUUCCU